RNAcentral lists this long non-coding RNA (1916 nucleotides) under Homo sapiens (human). RNAcentral describes it as "HSALNT0251211". Lineage: Eukaryota; Metazoa; Chordata; Mammalia; Primates; Hominidae. The record is from RNAcentral.
GCCUUGGGCUGAAGUUAGGGCAUAGGCUCAGGGAAACUCAGGACGGGAGAAACUAGAUGAAAAAGCUAACGGAGCAGCCAUAGCAUUGACUGGGCAUGGUGAAGACCAGGGUUCUGAAAGCUGAGGAUCACAGUGGACCUGGAUCAGGACAUAGAUUUAAAAAUGCAAUUAAGCUCCAAGGUUUAGAAUUCCAGGCAUGGGAACAGGCAAUGCAGAACAAGGAACUAAGAAUCAGCUCAAGUGGGGACCACAGCGGCAGGAGAGGAGAACACAGAUCUACCAAAGACCUCUAGGACAGAAACUUUCAAGGAACAGAAUCUUGUUCUGUUGCCCAGGCUGCUCUUGAACUCUUGGCUUCAAGAGAUCCUCUUGCCUUGGCCUCCAAAAGUGCUGGGAUGAAUCUCUGUCAUGGUGGCAUGAGCCACCAUGCCUGGCCCAGAUCCUGAAUUCUAGCAGGACAGCUCAUGCCCACCAGUCUGAAGACACCAAAAGGAGAACUGACUCAAUGCAAGAAUGCAAUUUCUUUAGUUCCAUGACGUCACCCUUCAUUCUUCAACCAAUCAGUGAUCCUUAUACCUUGGCCCACUAACCAUCCAAACCCCUUAAAAUCCCUAGAUCCUAAACUCCUUGAGGAGGUGGAUUUGAGGUUUCCUCCAGUCUCCUUGUUUGGCUGCCUUGUGAUUAAACCUCUUUCUCUGCUGCAAUUCUUUGUGUCUUGGUGUAUUUACUUACCACACAUUGGACAUUUUACCAAGAACUAAAAAUAGAACUACCAUUUGACCCAGCAGUCCCACUACUGGGCAUCUACUCAAAGGAAAAGAAAUCAUUCUAUCAAAAAGACACCUGUACUCCUAUGUUUAUUGCAGUACUAUUCAAAAUAGCAAAGUCUAUUUAUGUUAUAAUCAGAUUUGUAUUACAACUGUUUUAUAUUACAAUAGCUUUAUAUUAUAAAUAUAAUUAUGUAACCUAUAUAUAGUACUCAGUUACAAUUGUUUGUGUGUGUGUAACUAUGUCUGUGUUGUAAAAAUUAUUCUACCAAAAUGGGAAUGGUAGGUAGAAAGUAUAUGCAGAUAAUUUUGUCUAACAAUUUUGUCUUUCAUUUUUGUCCAACAAAUGCACUGUUUACCUUUUGCCACCGUACUCUCUGCCUCAGAGGGCUGACCUUUGUGGACUGUUUCAUGAGUAGCCUUUGACUUUUGGCUUACAGCUGGUUUAAUCACUGGGGAGGAUCACCAGGAGACCUAGAGACUGGGAGGUGAAUGAGGGAGGGUGGUUGCUGUCCUGGGAAGUGAAUGAGGGAGGGUGCUUACUGUCCCAGAUCUUUCCCUGUCGAUUCUCUAUGGGUUACCAAGUACCCUAGCAAAUUUCACAGCUCCUCUCAGAUGGCCCUCUCCCAUACAGCUGUUCUCAAUAGGUUUCCAUAAACAUUGCCUUCCAGGCUAGAUGUAGUAAUAGUUCCCUGGUGUUGCAAACUGUAGGGAACCUACUAUUGCUUAUUGCUUUCCCUAAAUACUAUCUGCACAUUUUGCUGGAAUUCUGACUGAGAUAUGUACUCCUUUUUCUUCAAAUAGAUUAACUCAUGCUUUCAAGUCUUAUAAAUCUCUUAUUACUAAAUAUUGGAGAAAUUUCCUACCAUAAAGCUCCUACAUUGAUUCACCUAUAUUGUUUAAAUAAGAGGCCAAUGCUCUAAUUUCCAAUUACCUCUGAGCCUCUCUGGCAUCCAGCUCACAUUAUAGGUAGUCAGAAUUUAAGAUAUCUUUCAUUCAUUGUUUGGGUUGGACAUUUCAUCUUCCCAUAAGUAGAAACAUUUCAACAAAAAUGUGAAGUGUUGUGAUAUUUGCAUCCUAACUUCAAAUGGUUGAGAACAAAAUUUUCAAAGAAAAUGAGAAUACAAAAAUAAAAAAGUGAUUAAUCCA